AGGGUUCGAUUCCGGANAGGGANCCUGANAAACGGCUACCACAUCUAAGGAAGGCAGCAGGCGCGCAAAUUACCCAAUCCUAAUACAGGGAGGUAGUGACAAGAAAUAACAAUACAGGACUUUUUGGUUUUGUAAUUGGAAUGAGUUAAGUAUAAACCCCUUUACAAGUAUCAAUUGGAGGGCAAGUCUGNUGCCAGCAGCCGCGGUAAUUCCAGCUCCAAUAGCG
RNAcentral lists this ribosomal RNA (226 nucleotides) under Cryptosporidium parvum. Its description in RNAcentral is "partial small subunit ribosomal RNA". It matches the Rfam family "Eukaryotic small subunit ribosomal RNA", at positions 372 to 599 of the family's 1831-position model. Lineage: Eukaryota; Apicomplexa; Conoidasida; Eucoccidiorida; Cryptosporidiidae. The record is from RNAcentral.